RNAcentral lists this unclassified non-coding RNA (1717 nucleotides) under Hevea brasiliensis (rubber tree). The record is from RNAcentral. Lineage: Eukaryota; Viridiplantae; Streptophyta; Magnoliopsida; Malpighiales; Euphorbiaceae.
GUUUGAUCAUUGCAUUAACACUUGAUGUGUAAAGUUAAUAAUUUAGCACAAGAACUCGAUAGGACUGAAUUCGAAGUCAAAAAGAUCUAGAUAUGUAGAUGAAGGUAGGUAAAUUAAUUAUAGCUUAACAAUGAAAGUUACAAAAAUGUCAACUCUGGCACAUCCAGCCAACAAUCUAUUUAUGCAGGAUAAAUAUUUCAACAGGUUCCCAUUUGAGAUAAACUGUGCUUUUGCAUUUAGUCUCAUAUCUAACAACUUGAAGCCCAAACCCGUCAGUAAUAAUCAUGAUUAUUGUAUCAACUAUGACCUUGUUUAACCAAUUGCAUAGAAACUAUCAACUCAAGUUUGAUAAUGGCAUUCUAGACAAGCUGACACGCCUCCUCAACUGAGAAAGCUGGACAAGAAUGGGAGCCAUUGAGAAUUCUAUUUGCUACCCAUAAAUUAGCUGCCUCAGAAUAGUGUAUACCAUCCCAGCUAAUAUGCAUUGAUGGAUGCCCGCAUGGGUUCCCGUAAACUGUUCCAUUCACUAUGGCCUUCUUUCCACAAUCAAUAUGAACUCCAUAGAAACUGCCACAACAGAAAUUCAUCGGAUCGAUGAAACCUGCGAAUUGUGGUAAAAUCAAAUACCAAUAGUUAUCAGACCAUGGUUCUCAGAGAAGUAUGAUUAGAGAAGUAAUGUUACCUUGACUCCUUGCAGUACUAAUUAGCUGAUAUUUAACAGAGUACACAUCAACAUAUGUGAAAGCUGAAUGAGGGAGCUGCGUGCUCAGCUGGGAUACCUUAUUUUUCAGCUGCCGAUUAAACUCCUGAGCAAUCUCAUUUUGAGACUUCACACAUCUAUUUUGAUCAAGAUUACCUGGAUUUGAGUUGUGAUAUAAAUAACUGUAGGGCAAGCAACCAAGUGGACCUGUAUUAUGCACCCAGAAAAUUCUAGCCUCUUCCUCAUAUAGCCGAUGCACAGCUUCUGCAAACUGGUUAAGAAUAUCAGGAAUGGACUUUCUAACUUGUUCCUCUGUUGUGUGUUGAAAUCCAUAGGCCAGGUCAUUCUGCCCAAUGUCAAAUGUGUAUAUAGCCCUUGAGAAAUCUGCAGGCCUAGGAAGAUUGCUUUUGAAGGGUGGGAUUUUUCCAGGAUCACUGGGGCUGAGUUGAUUAUACAAAGCUGUGGUGCGAGCUUUGAACUGUAUGAACUGGGAAAUUUGUAUGCCUAGAUGGAAUGGGCUAUAACCGCCCAGGCGAAUGGAAGAACCUCCUGUCGCAAAGUUUGCACCAUGUCUGAAAUCUGCCCCAACUGAGUCCAAGUAUGCACUAAGAUAUGGCAACUUCAACCUCUCAGCUAUAAAGUCUAUAAUCAGACGACCAUCACAAGCUCUUCCUGAAGGAUGUCCAAAGAAAGUUUCACCAUUUGGUGAAGUGACCUCCGAUAAUGCUGCAGAUAUUGCCCCAGUAUCCGAAUUCGAAUCCCCAAAGUUGUAAAUUGCCUGGAAUCCACAUUUCUGCAAACCGGUGCCAUCCAUCACCACUCUUGGUUGUGCCAAAACUAAAAGCCCAAAUACACAAAUUAGCCUCAAAGGGUCCAUGCUAGCUAAGUUUCAGCAGCAGCAGUACCCUUCAAAAGGCCAAGCUACCCACACUACAACUAGCCUUUCUUUAUCUAUCACUCUUUUAGAAUUCUGUUCUAAGCUUUGAAAGUGAUAAAAAGAAGCAUUCAAACUGCUGC